CACGUAGGUGGCCAGAGAUAUCCGGAAGAAUUGGGCGUAAAGCGCGCGCAGGCGGUUUCUUAAGUAUGAUGUGAAAGCCCCCGGCGCAACCCAGGAGGGUCAUUGGAAACUGGGAAACUUGAGUGCAGAAGAGGAAAGCGGAAUUCCACGUGUAGCGGUGAAAUGCGUAGAUAUGUGGAGGAACACCAGUGGCGAAGGCGGCUUUCUGGGCUUUUAGUCACGCCGAGGCGCGAAAGCGUGGGGAGCAAACUGG
RNAcentral lists this ribosomal RNA (253 nucleotides) under uncultured bacterium. RNAcentral's name for it is "partial 16S ribosomal RNA". It matches the Rfam family "Bacterial small subunit ribosomal RNA", at positions 524 to 776 of the family's 1533-position model. The record is from RNAcentral.